This is a non-coding RNA of Schistosoma curassoni, 48 nucleotides long. NCBI's taxonomy places the organism in Eukaryota, Metazoa, Platyhelminthes, Trematoda, Strigeidida, Schistosomatidae. The record is from Rfam.
AUCCAGCUAAUGAGUCCCAAAUAGGACGAAACGCGCGUCAAACUAUAU